UCCUAGCCCUGAUUGCAGUGGAAAUCCUGUAAUUGCGAAUUUUAAUCCCGAAUGAGAUUGCUUCGUUCCUCGCAAUGACAGAUUGCAACGUAAAGCAGGAAAUAGC
RNAcentral lists this small RNA (106 nucleotides) under Flavobacterium swingsii. RNAcentral's name for it is "Flavo-1 RNA". It matches the Rfam family "Flavo-1 RNA". The record is from RNAcentral. Lineage: Bacteria; Pseudomonadati; Bacteroidota; Flavobacteriia; Flavobacteriales; Flavobacteriaceae.